GGAUCAGUAGGUUGGUCGUGCCACUGGUAUGUACUGGCCUCACUGGUUCCUCCUUCUUGUAGAACCGUAAUGCCAUUAAUUUGGUGUUGCGGGGAAACAGGACUGUUACUUUGAAAAAAUUAGAGUGUUCAAAGCAGGCACAUGCCUGAAUACAUUAGCAUGGAAUAACAAAGUAGGACG
Molecule: ribosomal RNA, 180 nt
Filed under: uncultured Glomeromycotina
Lineage: Eukaryota; Fungi; Glomeromycota
Description: partial small subunit ribosomal RNA
Source: RNAcentral